GAUGAAGAACGCAGCGAAAUGCGAUACUUGGUGUGAAUUGCAGAAUCCCGUGAACCAUCGAGUCUUUGAACGCAAGUUGCGCCCGAAGCCAUUAGGCCGAGGGCACGCCUGCCUGGGUGUCACACGUCGUUGCCCCCCCAUCUACUCCUUCGGGAUUGCGGGGGGCGGAUGAUGGCCUCCCGUGCGCCUCGUCGCGCGGUUGGCAUAAAUGCCAAGUCCUCGGCGACGCACGCCACGACAAUCGGUGGUUGCGAAACCUCGGUUGCCCGUCGUGUGCGGUCGUCGCGCAACGAGGGCUCGAAAAAAUUGUCGGGCUCCGGCUCGGCUUUCAACGCGACCCCAGGUCAGGCGGGGUUACCCGCUGAAUUUAAGCAUAUCAAUAAGCGGAGGA
RNAcentral lists this unclassified non-coding RNA (391 nucleotides) under soil metagenome. Its description in RNAcentral is "partial contains 5.8S ribosomal RNA, internal transcribed spacer 2, and large subunit ribosomal RNA". The stretch from base 1 to 122 matches the Rfam family "5.8S ribosomal RNA", at positions 35 to 154 of the family's 154-position model. The record is from RNAcentral.